GACGAACGCUGGCGGCGUGCUUAACACAUGCAAGUCGAACGGAAAGGCCCUUCGGGGUACACGAGUGGCGAACGGGUGAGUAACACGUGGGUGAUCUGCCCUGCACUUCGGGAUAAGCCUGGGAAACUGGGUCUAAUACCGGAUAGGACCACUGCCUGCAGGGGAGGGGGUGGAAAGCUUUUGCGGUGUGGGAUGGGCCCGCGGCGUAUCAGCUUGUUGGCGGGGUAAUGGCGUACCAAGGCGACGACGGGUAGCCGGGCUGAGGGGGUGAGAGGUCACAGUGGGCCUGGGAUGCGGCCCGGCCUGGAACGGGAGGCAGGAGUGGGGAAGAGUGCACAGGGGGCGGAAGCCUGGUGCAGCGACGCAGCGUGAGGGAUGACGGCCUUCGGGUUGUGAACCUCUUUCAGCUAUGACGAAGCGCAAGUGACGGUAGUAGCAGAAGAAGGACCGGCCAACUACGUGCCAGCCGCCGCAGUAA
This 478-nucleotide ribosomal RNA is filed under the name uncultured bacterium. RNAcentral describes it as "partial 16S ribosomal RNA". It matches the Rfam family "Bacterial small subunit ribosomal RNA", at positions 28 to 523 of the family's 1533-position model. The record is from RNAcentral.